Bombyx mori (domestic silkworm) is the source of this 930-nucleotide long non-coding RNA. RefSeq lists it as uncharacterized. The record is from RefSeq and is a predicted model, not a curated record. NCBI's taxonomy places the organism in Eukaryota, Metazoa, Arthropoda, Insecta, Lepidoptera, Bombycidae. The transcript has 2 exons.
UUUGCACGAAAUUCAAACUGCGCAAGUGCGUCCGAGCAAAGCGAACAUAUUGGAUCUCGUUUUUGCGUUGUAUAGGAAAAAAACUGAUUUUGCAAGUGUUUUUAUCCGGUUUUUGGUUAAGAAACUGAUGUGCAGACAUAUACAAUGGUUUGAAACUAUAAACGAAAAACAGAUCGUGGCAAAUGGGACCCUGAAGUUCUGGGUCUUAUGGGUUCUUAAUAACAGGAUGGGGCUUCCUCGAGCCUCUGCUACAUAUGAUGUUCCGCCGCCGUGUAAGAAAAGCUCGUGAUACUGUGGAUGACGACACUGAUUCCGGUAACUACUAAGUAUGCAGGAAGCACGGUUAACCGGAAAAUAACUUCGUUUAAUAGCUUAUCAGUUGGCUCAGCGAAAUCAUAUAGAUAGCCCACUUAAUGAAGAAACCGACAUGGCAGGAGAAGAUUGGCGUAAAAAACGAAUACACAAAGUUGGAAAUAAGAAGAUAAAAAGAACUGAAAACAAGCAUCAAGCUAAAAGACUCGCCAAAGAAAUCGAAUCGGAAUAUAGUUCAUCUUAAUUGGAGGACGGUGACUGGGCCUGCAUCUAUUGUGGUUACUUAUACUAAGAGUCAACCGAGGGUUGAGCUAUCUGCAGUAUUUGCCAUGGUUGGGCACACGAUUCCUGUGCCGAAGUAGAUGAAGAAGACGACGAGGCACACAUUUGUGAACGCUGUCUGCCCGAUUAAAAUACGUACUCCUUUUGCCCCGUAGCAUUUCCCAUCUUACCCCGUCCAUGGGGCAAGACGGGAAAUUCGCCACAUUAUCGUUAAUCAUUAUUUGUCAAAAAACUUCUGUGAUUUUGCUUGAUAAAAUUAUUAAUUUUAAGAAACAAAUGUAUAAGUGUUACUUAUUUUCUUAAAGAAUUUAAUUAAAGAGUAUAAUUGUCUUUGUA